RNAcentral lists this ribosomal RNA (2903 nucleotides) under Enterobacter cloacae complex sp. P31C. RNAcentral describes it as "23S ribosomal RNA". It matches the Rfam family "Bacterial large subunit ribosomal RNA". The record is from RNAcentral. Lineage: Bacteria; Pseudomonadati; Pseudomonadota; Gammaproteobacteria; Enterobacterales; Enterobacteriaceae.
GGUUAAGCGACUAAGCGUACACGGUGGAUGCCCUGGCAGUCAGAGGCGAUGAAGGACGUGCUAAUCUGCGAAAAGCGCCGGCGAGGUGAUAUGAACCUUUGACCCGGCGAUGUCCGAAUGGGGAAACCCAGUGUGAUUCGUCACACUAUCGUUAACUGAAUACAUAGGUUAACGAGGCGAACCGGGGGAACUGAAACAUCUAAGUACCCCGAGGAAAAGAAAUCAACCGAGAUUCCCCCAGUAGCGGCGAGCGAACGGGGAGCAGCCCGGAGUCUGAAUCAGCUUGUGUGUUAGUGGAACGGUCUGGAAAGUCCGACGGUACAGGGUGAUAGUCCCGUACACGAAAAUGCACAGGCUGUGAACUCGAAGAGUAGGGCGGGACACGUGGUAUCCUGUCUGAAUAUGGGGGGACCAUCCUCCAAGGCUAAAUACUCCUGACUGACCGAUAGUGAACCAGUACCGUGAGGGAAAGGCGAAAAGAACCCCGGCGAGGGGAGUGAAAAAGAACCUGAAACCGUGUACGUACAAGCAGUGGGAGCACCUUCGGGUGUGACUGCGUACCUUUUGUAUAAUGGGUCAGCGACUUAUAUUCUGUAGCAAGGUUAACCGUAUAGGGGAGCCGAAGGGAAACCGAGUCUUAACUGGGCGUUAAGUUGCAGGGUAUAGACCCGAAACCCGGUGAUCUAGCCAUGGGCAGGUUGAAGGUUGGGUAACACUAACUGGAGGACCGAACCGACUAAUGUUGAAAAAUUAGCGGAUGACCUGUGGCUGGGGGUGAAAGGCCAAUCAAACCGGGAGAUAGCUGGUUCUCCCCGAAAGCUAUUUAGGUAGCGCCUCGUGAACUCAUCUUCGGGGGUAGAGCACUGUUUCGGCUAGGGGGCCAUCCCGGCUUACCAACCCGAUGCAAACUACGAAUACCGAAGAAUGUUAUCACGGGAGACACACGGCGGGUGCUAACGUCCGUCGUGAAGAGGGAAACAACCCAGACCGCCAGCUAAGGUCCCAAAGUCAUGGUUAAGUGGGAAACGAUGUGGGAAGGCACAGACAGCCAGGAUGUUGGCUUAGAAGCAGCCAUCAUUUAAAGAAAGCGUAAUAGCUCACUGGUCGAGUCGGCCUGCGCGGAAGAUGUAACGGGGCUAAACCAUGCACCGAAGCUGCGGCAGCGACACUAUGUGUUGUUGGGUAGGGGAGCGUUCUGUAAGCCGUCGAAGGUGGCCUGUGAGGGCUGCUGGAGGUAUCAGAAGUGCGAAUGCUGACAUAAGUAACGAUAAAGCGGGUGAAAAGCCCGCUCGCCGGAAGACCAAGGGUUCCUGUCCAACGUUAAUCGGGGCAGGGUGAGUCGACCCCUAAGGCGAGGCCGAAAGGCGUAGUCGAUGGGAAACAGGUUAAUAUUCCUGUACUUGGUGUUACUGCGAAGGGGGGACGGAGAAGGCUAUGUCAGCCGGGCGACGGUUGUCCCGGUUUAAGCGUGUAGGUGUGUGUUCCAGGCAAAUCCGGUUCACUUUAACACUGAGGCGUGAUGACGAGGCACUACGGUGCUGAAGUGAUAAAUGCCCUGCUUCCAGGAAAAGCCUCUAAGCAUCAGGUAACACGAAAUCGUACCCCAAACCGACACAGGUGGUCAGGUAGAGAAUACCAAGGCGCUUGAGAGAACUCGGGUGAAGGAACUAGGCAAAAUGGUGCCGUAACUUCGGGAGAAGGCACGCUGAUAUGUAGGUGAAGCCCCUGCGGGUGGAGCUGAAAUCAGUCGAAGAUACCAGCUGGCUGCAACUGUUUAUUAAAAACACAGCACUGUGCAAACACGAAAGUGGACGUAUACGGUGUGACGCCUGCCCGGUGCCGGAAGGUUAAUUGAUGGGGUUAGCGGCAACGCGAAGCUCUUGAUCGAAGCCCCGGUAAACGGCGGCCGUAACUAUAACGGUCCUAAGGUAGCGAAAUUCCUUGUCGGGUAAGUUCCGACCUGCACGAAUGGCGUAAUGAUGGCCAGGCUGUCUCCACCCGAGACUCAGUGAAAUUGAACUCGCUGUGAAGAUGCAGUGUACCCGCGGCAAGACGGAAAGACCCCGUGAACCUUUACUAUAGCUUGACACUGAACACUGGUCCUUGAUGUGUAGGAUAGGUGGGAGGCUUUGAAGCGUGGACGCCAGUCUGCGUGGAGCCGUCCUUGAAAUACCACCCUUUAAUGGCUGGUGUUCUAACGUGGACCCGUAAUCCGGGUUGCGGACAGUGUCUGGUGGGUAGUUUGACUGGGGCGGUCUCCUCCCAAAGAGUAACGGAGGAGCACGAAGGUUAGCUAAUCCUGGUCGGACAUCAGGAGGUUAGUGCAAUGGCAUAAGCUAGCUUGACUGCGAGAGUGACGGCUCGAGCAGGUGCGAAAGCAGGUCAUAGUGAUCCGGUGGUUCUGAAUGGAAGGGCCAUCGCUCAACGGAUAAAAGGUACUCCGGGGAUAACAGGCUGAUACCGCCCAAGAGUUCAUAUCGACGGCGGUGUUUGGCACCUCGAUGUCGGCUCAUCACAUCCUGGGGCUGAAGUAGGUCCCAAGGGUAUGGCUGUUCGCCAUUUAAAGUGGUACGCGAGCUGGGUUUAGAACGUCGUGAGACAGUUCGGUCCCUAUCUGCCGUGGGCGCUGGAGAAUUGAGGGGGGCUGCUCCUAGUACGAGAGGACCGGAGUGGACGCAUCACUGGUGUUCGGGUUGUCAUGCCAAUGGCACUGCCCGGUAGCUAAAUGCGGAAGAGAUAAGUGCUGAAAGCAUCUAAGCACGAAACUUGCCCCGAGAUGAGUUCUCCCUGACUCCUUGAGAGUCCUGAAGGAACGUUGAAGACGACGACGUUGAUAGGUCGGGUGUGUAAGCGCAGCGAUGCGUUGAGCUAACCGAUACUAAUGAACCGUGAGGCUUAACCUU